AGAGUUUGAUCCUGGCUCAGAUUGAACGCUGGCGGCAUGCCUUACACAUGCAAGUCGAACGGCAGCGCGGGGCAACCUGGCGGCGAGUGGCGAACGGGUGAGUAAUAUAUCGGAACGUGCCCUGGAGUGGGGGAUAACGCAGCGAAAGUUGCGCUAAUACCGCAUACGAUCUAAGGAUGAAAGCAGGGGACCGCAAGGCCUUGUGCUCCUGGAGCGGCCGAUAUCUGAUUAGCUAGUUGGUGGGGUAAAGGCCUACCAAGGCAUCGAUCAGUAGCUGGUCCGAGAGGACGACCAGCCACACUGGAACUGAGACACGGUCCAGACUCCUACGGGAGGCAGCAGUGGGGAAUUUUGGACAAUGGGCGAAAGCCUGAUCCAGCAAUGCCGCGUGAGUGAAGAAGGCCUUCGGG
Molecule: ribosomal RNA, 410 nt
Filed under: uncultured bacterium
Lineage: Bacteria
Description: bacterial SSU rRNA
Rfam family: Bacterial small subunit ribosomal RNA
Source: RNAcentral